GUUAAGGUGGCAGAGCCCGGUAACUGCAAAAGACCUAAGCCCUUUACACAGGGGUUCAAAUCCCCUCCCUAACU
This 74-nucleotide transfer RNA is filed under the name Maccullochella ikei (eastern freshwater cod). Its description in RNAcentral is "tRNA-Leu". It matches the Rfam family "tRNA". From Rfam's summary of the family: Transfer RNA (tRNA) molecules are approximately 80 nucleotides in length. Their secondary structure includes four short double-helical elements and three loops (D, anti-codon, and T loops). Further hydrogen bonds mediate the characteristic L-shaped molecular structure. tRNAs have two regions of fundamental functional importance: the anti-codon, which is responsible for specific mRNA codon recognition, and the 3' end, to which the tRNAs corresponding amino acid is attached (by aminoacyl-tRNA synthetases). tRNAs cope with the degeneracy of the genetic code in two manners: having more than one tRNA (with a specific anti-codon) for a particular amino acid; and 'wobble' base-pairing, i.e. permitting non-standard base-pairing at the 3rd anti-codon position. The record is from RNAcentral. RNAcentral also lists the same sequence under 2 other names. Lineage: Eukaryota; Metazoa; Chordata; Actinopteri; Centrarchiformes; Percichthyidae.